UCCGAUUCGCGCAUAUUCUUGAAUGAUUUUCGAAAGCACGCCGUUAGUGGGCAACCCCACCGCGAACUCCUACCCAUCUGCCGACGGGCGAUUGUAUGGGCGAAACUUUAACGCCGAUGACUAUAACGCCGAAGUGCGAGGGCAGCGCAUGAGGCAGUACUAUCACUCUGUGUUUCGCUCUGACGGCAUUGACGUGGCUGUGCGUAACGUCGCCGUGGUGCAGCGACCCUGGCUGCAACGCUUCUAUCCCAAUGGGCGUCGCGGUCGUAUUUGCUGCCAGGCUGUGUCUGCCCAGUUCAGGCGAGGGAGGCUGCACGUGGUGGCCGACGUGGACGGUAUUGCUGCGGCGUCGCUGAUGACGGUAAUAGCAGGGCGAGGUGCACAGGCGUCAGGGGAUAUCUGGGUCGGUGAUGCGGCUGUCGACGCGCAAACUCGACUGCGCCUCAUUGCCUACGUGGGGGCAGAGUCCCUCUUCGUCCCUCUCCUGUCAGUGAAGGACAAUUUGUGGUUUGUGGUGCAUCUCCACUGCAAGGAGCAGCGCACUUGGACGCGAGAGUUGGUGCUAGCAGCCGCCAACUUCGUCAGUCUCGAUCUCGGCAAGAAAGUCGCAGACCUCUCACAGUCGGAGAAGUUCCGCUUGCAGGUGGCGCUUGAGCUCGUGCUGGACCCACCGGUGCUGUUCUUUUCAUACCCUUUCGACGCCAUGGGUCUGGUAGAGCAAAACGAGUGCACCCAGCUUCUCUCCCGACUCUGCGUAGACGUGACGAAAACAGUGGUGCUGAGUACGCGAUCGAUGCCCAUGCCCCUGCACAGCGCUGCCGACACACUCCUCCUAUUUGGCGCUGGGGGAGUGGUACUGUUCUCCGGGAAGUGCCAAGACGCCAUAUCAUACUUCAACUCCCUUCGCAUACCGAGGCACAUACCGCAGCCGCUUUGGAAAGGAGUGCUGGGUCAUGGCGCGGAAGCACAAGCUGCCGAGGAGGAUCUGCGGACUUUCCACGCGCCAUCGCUCCCCCCUUCGGAUUCCAGCCCCUUUUCACAAAGGGGUGUGAAGGCGCCAGAGAGUCGCUUGUACUCAGUCAUAUGCACGCCGCCGCGACUUUCGUCGCGCGUUUUUCUGAUGGACGUCCUGAAUGACACGCCGCCGCCGCUCUACUGCCGUGCGGCUGAAGGGGGCAGUGCGUCAACCAGCGCCGUUGUGGAAGUGGCGACCAGCGGAGACCUGAUGGACUUGGCAGUGGAGUGGGCCGAGAGUGAGUCGCAGACCAUGUUCUACGCCGCCAAGUACUACGACUCAUCAGUGCAUGCGGCUCUCCUUUCGUCGCUGGACCCUGUCAACGCUCGAAGUGUUGCCACAACGCACACCUCGCCUCCCCCACCCCGUGCACUACCACAUGGCGUCUGGCGUUUUGGUGUGCUGCUCAGGUACACGCUAAAGCAGAUUCCGGCGGAUGCUGAGCUGCUGUUGGGCGUUGCGUUCCUUUCCAUCGGGCUGAUCGUUCUCACUGUGGCAGUGCACUCGCAGCCAGAGAAUCAAGGCGGCAUGUACAACAUCCGCGGGCUCAUCUUUAUAGCAUUUGUGCUUGUCCUUUUUUCAAACCUUGCCGCGAUCGAGAGCAUGCGUGAUCAACUCCGCGUUGCACUUGGCCACCGGAAGCGCAAGCUGUACGGGUCUCUGAGCUUUAUCGUGUGUCUCUGCGUCCGCAUUGUGCUCAUCCGCAGCGUCUACUUGGCCCUCUUCCUGCCAUUUGUACUAUUUGUCUUGCGCUCGUCUUACUCGCUGGCCAUAUUGGUUGGCCUCGUCACCUGCACCCACGCUGCCUUUCAGUAUUUGGUUACUCUGCUUCCCUCGCGGCGGUGGGUGACGUGGGUCUCGUACGCGUACUUUGGGUACAGCAUCAUUUUCUCAGGGUUUCUUCUGAACCUGCGCACACUUCCGCCUCUUCUCGGCGUUCUCAGCAUCCUGCGCUGGGGAUACGGUGCCGUGAUCUAUACUUGGCUGCAUGGUAAAUCAUUCCAGUGCGACGGGGCCGGGAACACCUCCUACUGCUACACCGGCGACGACUAUCUUGCCGUGGAGGGACUGGAAAAUGAAUCUGUCGCGUCUUCCGCCUUGAUUCUCGCCGUUUUGGGUGCUUCCAUGAUGGGGCUUCUACUUGUCUUGUGGUCACUGAGGAGUGUCUAGUCCGUUUGAAGUCCCUGCCGCUGCUCUGCACGCAUCG
This 2222-nucleotide unclassified non-coding RNA is filed under the name Leishmania donovani. RNAcentral's name for it is "gene:LdHU3.29.1380(CDS-product:ABC_transporter-li ke_protein)". Lineage: Eukaryota; Euglenozoa; Kinetoplastea; Trypanosomatida; Trypanosomatidae. The record is from RNAcentral.